GUGCCAGCAGCCGCGGUAAUACAGAGGGUGCGAGCGUUAAUCGGAAUUACUGGGCGUAAAGCGCACGUAGGCGGCUUUGCAAGUCGGGUGUGAAAUCCCCGGGCUCAACCUGGGAACUGCAUCCGAGACUGCUUUGCUCGAGUAUGGGAGAGGGAAGUGGAAUUUCCGGUGUAGCGGUGAAAUGCGUAGAUAUCGGAAGGAACAUCAGUGGCGAAGGCGACUUCCUGGACCAAUACUGACGCUCAGGUGCGAAAGCGUGGGGAGCAAACAGGAUUAGAUACCCCUGUAGUCC
This 292-nucleotide ribosomal RNA is filed under the name uncultured bacterium. RNAcentral's name for it is "partial 16S ribosomal RNA". It matches the Rfam family "Bacterial small subunit ribosomal RNA", at positions 505 to 796 of the family's 1533-position model. The record is from RNAcentral.